RNAcentral lists this ribosomal RNA (253 nucleotides) under uncultured bacterium. RNAcentral describes it as "partial 16S ribosomal RNA". It matches the Rfam family "Bacterial small subunit ribosomal RNA", at positions 524 to 776 of the family's 1533-position model. The record is from RNAcentral.
UACGGAGGGAGCUAGCGUUGUUCGGAAUUACUGGGCGUAAAGCGCACGUAGGCGGCGACUCAAGUCAGAGGUGAAAGCCCGGGGCUCAACCCCGGAACUGCCUUUGAAACUAGGUUGCUAGAAUCCUGGAGAGGUUAGUGGAAUUCCGAGUGUAGAGGUGAAAUUCGUAGAUAUUCGGAAGAACACCAGUGGCGAAGGCGACUAACUGGACAGGUAUUGACGCUGAGGUGCGAAAGCGUGGGGAGCAAACAGG